This is a long non-coding RNA of Teleopsis dalmanni, 1032 nucleotides long. RefSeq lists it as uncharacterized. The record is from RefSeq and is a predicted model, not a curated record. Lineage: Eukaryota; Metazoa; Arthropoda; Insecta; Diptera; Diopsidae. The transcript has 3 exons.
CCAAUAACUUUGUGUCAAUGUAGUUUAUAAAGAUGUUAUGAAUAAAUCUUAUAAUGAUGAAUAAGAAAAAUAAAAGAGUAAAAAAACCGAAAACAUAAGAACACAUGCAGAUACUAGUUUAAGGAUGCAGCUUCACUGUUAUGUGAAAUGAAAUGUCAGAAAGUGUUUGGUUUUAGUAAUGCAGAAGCACAAGCGUACAAGAUGCUAGUAUCAAAAUUCAGAUACUCGCCACAAGAGCUUUAAAAUGGAACCCAAGGGUAGUCAGCAAGCAAGUAUGUCAUCAGAAAUGAAGAAAAUAAUAAUUGCGACAAGAAACUACCUGCUACAAAAUAUAUUGCAAUGGAGGUAGUUCUAGAGCUCUCAAUAAUAUUAGAUUUGAAGAAAGCAGCAUUAAAGACUAUGUAAGGAAGGAAAGUACUGGAUUGAUCGACUGAGGAAGGAAAUAAUAUUGGUUCAUUAUGUUAUUAAAAUUGCAAAAGGAGAUACCUUCCCUGAAAUGGCAGUUUUUAAUUAUAGAACAAAAACAAAAGGCACACAAAGGCUUUUUAAAUGGAGAUUACGUUUGGUCAAUGCUAUUUGUUGAGUUAUUUGUCAAGAAGUCGUGCUUAACGAUGGCUUUGGUAUGAAUAUCGUCUGGUAUGGUAUGAUUAUAGUAUGGUAUGUAGGUAGGAUUGCAGAACACUUAAAAACAAAAUAGAUUUAACAGGUCUGUCUACAAACUACCCAGUAAAUAGUAAACAACAUAUGAAUGCGUUGUUGAAGUUAUAGGCAAGUACUAAUUGAACUCAUGGACUGAGUAACCAUUUGAUUCAACGACUCAAAUAAUUGUAGCAAGAGCUGAUAUAAAACCACUGGGCAAUAUAUAUUGCGCUUAAGUCCCGAAUGGUGAUACAGCAGAGUGCUACCAAGUUAUAGAAAAAAAUGGUGGCUUUAGUUUUCACUUAUGUUUUUCAAAUAAUAAAUUACGGAUUUCACUAUAAGGUUAAGUAUGUGAAAUAAAAAGUGCUUUUAUUUUUUACAAUAAAAGGUGAU